CCGAGUUGUUUGAGGAUCUGAAGAAACGAGUGUCACAAUUCAACAUGCACAUCAGCGAAACUUCCUCUGACUACACCAGCACGCACGCACAGAACUUCAUAGUGCAGGUGGCGAUUGCAGGCGCAUUUUAUCUAAACUGCUUCCUCCAGGGAACUGUGGACGAGGAGCUCGCCUCCAAGGAACUCUAUGGAAACGACCCCAGGACCACCGUAGUGGUAUUCAGUGUGUAAUCUCCCUCCAUUUGCAUUCCUCUACUAUAAACAGCUCCAGUCUCUCUUCAGACACUGUGGUCAAGUCAAAUCCAUCUCCUUUGACAGCUCCAGGAUUUGUGUGUGUGUGUGUGUGUGUGUGUGUGUGUGUGUGUGUGUGUGUGUGUGUGUGUGUGUGUGUGUGUGUGUGUGUGUGUGUGUGUGUGUGUGUGUGUA
Long non-coding RNA from Ictalurus punctatus (channel catfish), 425 nucleotides. Lineage: Eukaryota; Metazoa; Chordata; Actinopteri; Siluriformes; Ictaluridae. The record is from Ensembl.